Potamilus streckersoni is the source of this 75-nucleotide non-coding RNA. Lineage: Eukaryota; Metazoa; Mollusca; Bivalvia; Unionida; Unionidae. The record is from the annotation of a GenBank genome assembly.
GUUCCGGGGGGCCCAAAUGGAUAGAGCGUCCGCCUCGGAUGCGGGAGGUCGCGGGUUCGAAACCUGGCCGAAUCA